This is a non-coding RNA of Fusarium redolens, 96 nucleotides long. The record is from the annotation of a RefSeq genome assembly. NCBI's taxonomy places the organism in Eukaryota, Fungi, Ascomycota, Sordariomycetes, Hypocreales, Nectriaceae.
GGGCGAAUGGUUUAGUGGUAUAAUACUCCCUUAGCAUGUUCUCUCCACGAGAUCACCUUCUGGGAGUGGUCCAGGGUUCGAUUCCCUGUUCGUCCA